RNAcentral lists this ribosomal RNA (379 nucleotides) under uncultured Glomus. RNAcentral describes it as "bacterial SSU rRNA". It matches the Rfam family "Eukaryotic small subunit ribosomal RNA", at positions 569 to 961 of the family's 1831-position model. Lineage: Eukaryota; Fungi; Glomeromycota; Glomeromycetes; Glomerales; Glomeraceae. The record is from RNAcentral.
AGCAGCCGCGGUAAUUCCAGCUCCAAUAGCGUAUAUUAAAGUUGUUGCAGUUAAAAAGCUCGUAGUUGAAUUUCGGGAUCAAUAUAUCGGUCGUGCCAUCGGUACGUACUGGUAUGAUUGGUUUCUCCUUUCUGACGAACCAUGAUGUCAUUAAUUUGGUGUUAUGGGAAGUUAGGACUGUUACUUUGAAAAAAUUAGAGUGUUUAAAGCAGGCGUAUAUUAAAGUUGUUGCCGUUAAAAAGCUCGUAGUUGAACUUUAGGCCCGGUUGGACGGUCGACUCUAGGGUUUGUACUGUCCUGACUGGGUCUUACCUUCUGGUGAGCUGUCGUGUUGUUUAUUCAGUGCGGCAGGGAACCAGGACUUUUACUUUGAAAAAAU